Molecule: transfer RNA, 75 nt
Filed under: Paenibacillus sp. FSL R7-0337
Lineage: Bacteria; Bacillati; Bacillota; Bacilli; Caryophanales; Paenibacillaceae
Description: tRNA-Gly
Rfam family: tRNA
About the family: Transfer RNA (tRNA) molecules are approximately 80 nucleotides in length. Their secondary structure includes four short double-helical elements and three loops (D, anti-codon, and T loops).
Source: RNAcentral
GCGGACGUGGCUCAGCGGUAGAGCAUCGCCUUGCCAAGGCGAGGGUCGCGGGUUCGAUUCCCAUCACCCGCUCCA